GAUGAACGCUGGCGGCGUGCCUAAUACAUGCAAGUCGAGCGAACAGACGAGGAGCUUGCUCCUCUGACGUUAGCGGCGGACGGGUGUGUAACACGUGGAUAACCUACCUAUCAGACUGGGAUAACUUCGGGACACCGGCGCAAAUACCGGAUAAUCUACUGAAGCGCGUGGUUCAAUAGUGAAAGACGGUUUUGCUGUCACUUAUAGAUGGAUACGGGCCGCAUUAGCUAGUUGGUAAGGUAACGGCUUACCAAGGCAACGAUGCGUAGCCGACGUGAGAGGGUGAUCGGCCACACUGGAAGUGAGACACGGUCCAGGCGACUGAGAGAGGCAGCAGUAGGGAAUCGUCCGCAAUGGGCGAAAGCCUGACGGAGCAGCGCCGCGUGAGUGAUAAAGGUCUUCGGAGCGUAAUACUGUGUUAUUAGUGAAGAACAAAUGUGUAAGUAACUAUGCACGUCGUGACGGUACCUAAUCAGAAAGCCACGGCUAACUACGUG
RNAcentral lists this ribosomal RNA (497 nucleotides) under uncultured bacterium. Its description in RNAcentral is "partial 16S ribosomal RNA". It matches the Rfam family "Bacterial small subunit ribosomal RNA", at positions 28 to 507 of the family's 1533-position model. The record is from RNAcentral.